GAUGAACGCUGGCGGCGUGCCUAAUACAUGCAAGUCGAGCGAACGGACGAGAAGCUUGCUUCUCUGAUGUUAGCGGCGGACGGGUGAGUAACACGUGGAUAACCUACCUAUAAGACUGGGAUAACUUCGGGAAACCGGAGCUAAUACCGGAUAAUAUUUUGAACCGCAUGGUUCAAAAGUGAAAGACGGUCUUGCUGUCACUUAUAGAUGGAUCCGCGCUGCAUUAGCUAGUUGGUAAGGUAACGGCUUACCAAGGCAACGAUGCAUAGCCGACCUGAGAGGGUGAUCGGCCACACUGGAACUGAGACACGGUCCAGACUCCUACGGGAGGCAGCAGUAGGGAAUCUUCCGCAAUGGGCGAAAGCCUGACGGAGCAACGCCGCGUGAGUGAUGAAGGUCUUCGGAUCGUAAAACUCUGUUAUUAGGGAAGAACAUAUGUGUAAGUAACUGUGCACAUCUUGACGGUACCUAAUCAGAAAGCCACGGCUAACUACGUGCCAGCAGCCGCGGUAAUACGUAGGUGGCAAGCGUUAUCCGGAAUUAUUGGGCGUAAAGCGCGCGUAGGCGGUUUUUUAAGUCUGAUGUGAAAGCCCACGGCUCANCCGUGGAGGGUCAUUGGAAACUGGAAAACUUGAGUGCAGAAGAGGAAAGUGGAAUUCCAUGUGUAGCGGUGAAAUGCGCAGAGAUAUGGAGGAACACCAGUGGCGAAGGCGACUUUCUGGUCUGUAACUGACGCUGAUGUGCGAAAGCGUGGGGAUCAAACAGAAUUAGAUACCCUGGUAGUCCACGCCGUAAACGAUGAGUGCUAAGUGUUAGGGGGUUUCCGCCCCUUAGUGCUGCAGCUAACGCAUUAAGCACUCCGCCUGGGGAGUACGACCGCAAGGUUGAAACUCAAAGGAAUUGACGGGGACCCGCACAAGCGGUGGAGCAUGUGGUUUAAUUCGAAGCGACGCGAAGAACCUUACCAAAUCUUGACAUCCUUUGACAACUCUAGAGAUAGAGCUUUCCCCUUCGGGGGACAAAGUGACAGGUGGUGCAUGGUUGUCGUCAGCUCGUGUCGUGAGAUGUUGGGUUAAGUCCCGCAACGAGCGCAACCCUUAAGCUUAGUUGCCAUCAUUAAGUUGGGCACUCUAAGUUGACUGCCGGUGACAAACCGGAGGAAGGUGGGGAUGACGUCAAAUCAUCAUGCCCCUUAUGAUUUGGGCUACACACGUGCUACAAUGGACAAUACAAAGGGCAGCGAAACCGUGAGGUCAAGCAAAUCCCAUAAAGUUGUUCUCAGUUCGGAUUGUAGUCUGCAACUCGACUACAUGAAGCUGGAAUCGCUAGUAAUCGUAGAUCAGCAUGCUACGGUGAAUACGUUCCCGGGUCU
This 1372-nucleotide ribosomal RNA is filed under the name uncultured bacterium. RNAcentral's name for it is "bacterial SSU rRNA". It matches the Rfam family "Bacterial small subunit ribosomal RNA", at positions 28 to 1381 of the family's 1533-position model. The record is from RNAcentral.